GCGGCAGACGGGUGAGUAACGCGUGGGAACCUACCUAUCUCUACGGAACAACUCCGGGAAACUGGAGCUAAUACCGUAUACGCCCUUCGGGGGAAAGAUUUAUCGGAGAUAGAUGAGCCCGCGUUGGAUUAGCUAGUUGGUGGGGUAAUGGCCUACCAAGGCGACGAUCCAUAGCUGGUCUGAGAGGAUGAUCAGCCACACUGGGACUGAGACACGGCCCAGACUCCUACGGGAGGCAGCAGUGGGGAAUAUUGGACAAUGGGCGAAAGCCUGAUCCAGCCAUGCCGCGUGAGUGAUGAAGGCCCUAGGGUUGUAAAGCUCUUUCAACGGUGAAGAUAAUGACGGUAACCGUAGAAGAAGCCCCGGCUAACUUCGUGCCAGCAGCCGCGGUAAUACGAAGGGGGCUAGCGUUGUUCGGAAUUACUGGGCGUAAAGCGCACGUAGGCGGAUUGUUUAGUUAGGGGUGAAAUCCCAGGGCUCAACCCUGGAACUGCCUCUAAUACUGGCAAUCUAGAGUCCGAGAGAGGUGAGUGGAAUUCCGAGUGUAGAGGUGAAAU
RNAcentral lists this ribosomal RNA (557 nucleotides) under Mesorhizobium sp. I14B-01162. Its description in RNAcentral is "bacterial SSU rRNA". It matches the Rfam family "Bacterial small subunit ribosomal RNA", at positions 95 to 687 of the family's 1533-position model. The record is from RNAcentral. Lineage: Bacteria; Pseudomonadati; Pseudomonadota; Alphaproteobacteria; Hyphomicrobiales; Phyllobacteriaceae.